AGCUCGGGGAUUUGAACUUGCAACCUUCCGGUUACUAGUCCAACGCUCUAACCACUAGGCUACCCUGCCGCCACAUACAGUAUGUUAGUGUGGGUAUUCGAGCACAGCUCUUGUUUUUCAUCAAUGCUCAUUAAGAAAUGCUAGGCAAACAAGAAUUGUCUUGGGGUGUGGUUUGAUGUGGGUGUUUCUUGGAUGUGUUUUUACCAUUCAAUUGCAAUAAACAAGUGCAGUAGUGAAUACGUAAGGUAAGCCAGCUUUGCUGUAGAAAACAACGUUUUGAAGUUGAGGACUUCUCCCGAUGAGCAUUGAUACCAGAGCACGCUCAUUUUGGGCUACAGUUUGAAUCACAACGUACCAGAUGAGUGCGGAAUCUGACUUUGGACAUUGAAUUAUUAUUAUUUUGAAAAUGUUGUGUUCGAUCAAAACAUUCGGUUUUGGAAGUGAAUGUAGUGGUGCGUUUGGUUGGUGGAUCUGCACAUCUGUAAUGAGGUAGGCUGUGCAGGUAGCCCAGAUGAGAGUACGUCUGAGAUGGAUGAAGGUGAAAGGAUCAGUGAUGAGUCUACCUACAAGACUGUACACAUUUUUUGGUGGAAAAUGUUCGGAAAAGGAGACGAGGGUGGAUUUGCCACAGAUGGGGACAUAGAUGGAAGGGGAGAAUCUAGAAGAACAAACAGGCAGGGAGAAGAGGUACAGUAGUGUUUUUUUAUCUGAGACAACCAGUAAAAUGUUACAUCUGAUAAAGUUGUCAGAUGUACAGUGGUUCUUACUUUUGAAAGUUUUGAGCUUAUGCAGCCACCGUUUGUGGUAGAUGGUGGCAGAUUGUGGUAAAUUGCGUCUUGGCUGACACUUAAAUAACGUGCCAUAGAAUUAUGCGGAACCACACAAGAUGUGCUGCAAGAUGCUGCAACAUUUAAGCUUAUACGGUUCCAAAAAAGGACUGCAAAAACAUACGAAAUAGGUUGUUCCAACCUGUAAACGAACAGUAUGCUUUCAGUCGCGUGUACUUGCUCUUCACCUGUCAACCCAGGUCUGAUGGCUACCUGUCUUUUGCUCCCCCACCUCCAAGAGUGUUUCUCUAACGGAACGAUGACUGCGCUGGCGAUGAAGGUGGAGUAUGCUCCAGGUCUGAACCCCGGUCAGCUGACACUGAGCGACCCCGCCUCUACAGUGACGAUCGCUUCGCCUACUUCCACUUCACUGUGAACUCCUGUGGCACCACCAGGAAGAGUGUUUCUCUAACGGAACGAUGACUGCGCUGGCGAUGAAGGUGGAGUAUGCUCCAGGUCUGAACCCCGGUCAGCUGACACUGAGCGACCCCGCCUCUACAGUGACGAUCGCUUCGCCUACUUCCACUUCACUGUGAACUCCUGUGGCACCACCAGGAAGAGUGUUUCUCUAACGGAACGAUGACUGCGCUGGCGAUGAAGGUGGAGUAUGCUCCAGGUCUGAACCCCGGUCAGCUGACACUGAGCGACCCCGCCUCUACAGUGACGAUCGCUUCGCCUACUUCCACUUCACUGUGAACUCCUGUGGCACCACCAGGAAGAGUGUUUCUCUAACGGAACGAUGACUGCGCUGGCGAUGAAGGUGGAGUAUGCUCCAGGUCUGAACCCCGGUCAGCUGACACUGAGCGACCCCGCCUCUACAGUGACGAUCGCUUCGCCUACUUCCACUUCACUGUGAACUCCUGUGGCACCACCAGGAAGGUAAAAUGACUAUUACCCUGAGGUGAUGGGUACCGUGUAUUUAUGGACUGUUUGCUUCUGUAGGCUGUAAUAAGCAAUUCCCCUCUACUACAUAGUUUAUCAACAAUUCAUGCUGUAUGAGUGCAUUACGCAUCACAAUUGUAGCUAUUAGCUGUUAUAGGGUGGUUUUUUUCCUUCACCAAUUGCUCAAUACUUUGUAUACAGGGAAAAUGUGCCUCUACUAUCAGUGUGUCCACUCCACUGCUUGAAGUUUCCCCUAUUGAAGUUGAUUUUUACUGGAGUGGAGGAGUUUGUUUCUUUUUGGUUUAAAUGGGAAAAGUAAAGUUUGACAUUUUAAUUUGGUGAAUGGUGUACUAAGUCAUGCGAUAAGAUUAAGGAAUUUAGGUGAUUAUGAAGGGGAAAUUGUGUGGAGUUUUUUUAGGAGUAUUUUAGAGAAAGAUAGAUAAUAUAUAGAUACGGUGGAGGAAACUGUGGGUGAGUACUUUAAUUGAAAUUCUAUCAAAUGGAAAACUUGUAAUUCAUUAUGAAUUGGUAU
Long non-coding RNA from Oncorhynchus gorbuscha (pink salmon), 2241 nucleotides. RefSeq lists it as uncharacterized. The transcript has 4 exons. The record is from RefSeq and is a predicted model, not a curated record. Lineage: Eukaryota; Metazoa; Chordata; Actinopteri; Salmoniformes; Salmonidae.